RNAcentral lists this ribosomal RNA (299 nucleotides) under Fuligo candida. RNAcentral describes it as "partial small subunit ribosomal RNA". It matches the Rfam family "Bacterial small subunit ribosomal RNA", at positions 535 to 835 of the family's 1533-position model. The record is from RNAcentral. Lineage: Eukaryota; Evosea; Eumycetozoa; Physariida; Physaraceae.
UUAGUGUUAUUUGUGAUGACUGGGCGUAAAGGGUACGUAGGCUGUUAUGCAAAAGUAUAGAAAAAGACUGAGGUACCCCCUCUUUCCACUAUGCUCACUACAUAACUUGAGUUCGUUAGGUGGUCUCAGAACUUCUAAUGGAGGGGUGAAAUCCGUUGAUAUUAAAAGGACUUUCAGUGGCGAAAGCAUUGACCAAUUUCGAUCUGACGCUAAGGUACGAGAGCGUGGGGAGCAAAGAGGAUUAGAGACCCUCGUAGUCCACGCCGUAAACAAUGAGUGUAAACAUCUACGUCUGCACU